RNAcentral lists this ribosomal RNA (306 nucleotides) under Triticum aestivum (bread wheat). RNAcentral describes it as "partial small subunit ribosomal RNA". The record is from RNAcentral. Lineage: Eukaryota; Viridiplantae; Streptophyta; Magnoliopsida; Poales; Poaceae.
AUGUUAGCAGUUGCCGCAUUUUAUGAAAUCUGGCAAAUGGAUGUCAAAACAGCAUUCCUUAAUGGAUUUCCUAAAGAAGAGUUGUAUAUGAUGCAACCAGAAGGUUUUGUCAAUCCUAAAGAUGCUAACAAAGUGUGCAAGCUCCAGCGAUCCAUCUAUGGACUGGUGCAAGCAUCUUGGAGUUCGAAUAUACACUUUGAUGAGUUGAUCAAAGCAUAUAGUUUUAUACAGACUUGUGGUAAAGCCUGUAUUUAUAAGAAAGUGGGUGGGAGCACUACGGCCUUUCUGAUAAGUAUAUGUGAAUGA